GAUAAUAAGUCUCGCAACACUUCCCAUAAUUUGUUUUCAUUCGUUGCUGAGUCCGCCAUGUUCUAUUUUCUCCGAUGUCUUUCCGUCGCGGCAAAAUGAUUAAAUCUUGCACGAAAAGUGAGUGUUUUAAAAGUGUAGCUUCAGCCAAAGGUAAAUAUGAUCGUGAUUUGCCUGCAGAACAAAAAGAUCCAGAGCGAGACGGUCGUUCCGCUGGACAAAGGCGAUUCCUCUUCCACACCUCCGAAUGCCGCCGAGGAAGUGCAGAAGAAGACGCACACUUUUUAUCAGCUCAACGGGACCGUCCGCAUACACGACCGAACGGAGGCCAUCAACAUCAUGGGGAAUCCGGAAUCCAGCAGUAUAUGCCAUUCCGGAGCUGACUCACUAGGACAUAUUGCCGUAUAGUUCCGGCGAACAGCAUCCGCUACAGCGCGAUGUAUUGGAUAAGUUUCUGGGACAUCAACCGGAGCGCGAAGAAGAAUCUUCCCUGGGAACAUACGGGAAAACCGUGGCACGGUAGUUUCGGUGUAUUGGAUCGGUACAAACACAUCCCCGAGUGCUUAUAUUUUAUCUGCACAGCAAAAAAUAAUGUAAUUUGCAUCGACGUAAUUCAUGCCGAUGUAACAAAUAUUCGAUGUAACCGCUAAUUUCAAGUGCAAAAUGGCAUAUUUUUGAUGUUAUAUUACAUCGCUUAGAAAUUACACAAAAAUAUAAUUACCAUUUUUCAUCACAUUGACAUUGUGUAAUAUUCACAUCUAAACUAUAUAAAUAUUACACAGAAACAAAUGCAACCAAGUCAUUCCGAUAUACCUUAGUAAUAUUACACAAAUUCAAUGCUAUUUCGCAUGCGUAACGAAUGCAAUAAUCAGUCCCGCAACACUGCCCAGACUUUGUUUCGGUCGGUGUCUGACGAAGUGUCAUGGCGUCAGAUUCCGUGCGCGUUUGCAUCAGAUAUUUUUUUUGUCGAGUUUGCAUGCAGAUAUUUCCUGCUAUUAUAAUAAAUUUAAUCAAUGGUCAAAAAUUCUUCCGGAAUUUCUUAAGGAGUUCCAGGAGU
Long non-coding RNA from Aedes aegypti (yellow fever mosquito), 1054 nucleotides. RefSeq lists it as uncharacterized. The record is from RefSeq and is a predicted model, not a curated record. The transcript has 3 exons. NCBI's taxonomy places the organism in Eukaryota, Metazoa, Arthropoda, Insecta, Diptera, Culicidae.